RNA transcript from Archocentrus centrarchus (flier cichlid), 3412 nucleotides. It is a transcript of the gene named Rho GDP dissociation inhibitor (GDI) gamma, with no coding region annotated. The transcript is spliced from 7 exons. NCBI's taxonomy places the organism in Eukaryota, Metazoa, Chordata, Actinopteri, Cichliformes, Cichlidae. The record is from RefSeq and is a predicted model, not a curated record.
AUGCUGGGAUUGGACGUGUGUGAGUUUGGGGGUCAGGUGCUGGAGCUGCUGUGGCUAACUAUGUGCUACAGAGGGCUGAUUGCUGAAAAGAAUGAGUUGCCCAUUGAGGAGGAAGAAGAUGAGCGAAACCUCAACUACAAUCCUCCAGCUCAGAAGUCCCUGCAGGAGAUUCAAGAACUGGACAAAGAUGAUGAAAGUCUGGUGAAGUACAAGCAGACCCUGCUGGGGCCAGAAGCAAUGAUGGCAGAUAUCGCUGGUCCUAACGUCAAGGUGACCAGACUGACCCUGUUGUGCGAUGAUGCUCCUGAACCAAUUACCAUGGACCUGAGAGGUGACCUGAGCGCUCUGAAGGAGAAGAGCUUCUCCUUACAGGAGGGAGCAAAAUACAGACUAAAGAUACACUUCAAGGUGAACAGAGAAAUUGUUUCUGGCCUGAAAUACCGUCAAGUGACCUACAGAAAAGGAUUAAGAAUGAAUAAGGUGGUGUACAUGGUGGGAAGUUACGGCCCACGUGCAGAGGAGCAGGAGUUUCUAUGCCCGAUUGAUGAGGCACCUAAAGGCAUUAUGACUCGUGGCCAGUAUCAGAUCAAGUCCUGCUUCACUGACGAUGACAAGAACGUCUACUCAUCCUGGGAGUGGAUCCUCAACAUCAGCAAGGACUGGAAUUAACAGAUUGGGAGAGCGUCUGUGUGUGCGAGAGAAAUUAUUCUCCUCUCUCUCCUUCUUUCACAUCUAUUCUUCAUCCCCUCUCAUCUUUCUCAUCUUCUUCUGCAUCCUGUGAAAGCCACCCAGCAGUGGCCAAGACAAAAAGUUCCCUACUUCUCCUCUUUCUCCUUCUUCUCUUCCAACUUGUCCUUCCUCGUCUCUUUAAUGCACUACACACAGGCCUCCAGAAACCCAUGAGUGACUUUUAGAAAAGAGAACGUUCUCUUUCUUUGCUAUUGUCCAGAGUUAACCGUAUGCUGAAAUUUCCCUUUCCAAUUAUUUUAAGUUCCUUCCAUCUUUUCUUCCUCAUGGUGUUGUGAAAGGGUAAUGAGGAAAGGGUGUUUAAUCUGUUCAAGGCACAAAUCCAAUAAAAUGCAAAAAUGACAAAAUAAUUUUUACAGCUGAAGUCAUACAAACUGCAGAGGCUGCUGCUGCUGCAUUUGUUGUUUUAAAAAGUACAGGGAGAGACAAAGGUGCAGAUGAGAGGGGCAGGUGCAUGCUGGGGAUGUAAAAACAGGAAGUUACUUAUUGCUUGGCACAUUCACAGAUGCAGUGAACUCCUGCAGCAGGGAUGGGUCAUUAAUUAAUUUAGCACCAGAUUACCUGAAAAAUCGCAAUUAGGGUCACCUAUGCUUCAGGAAUACAUUUAUCUCUCUUUUCUGCCACAGAUGUUUGAGAAGGUAAAAUUGUUACAUUGUUAAUUUGCUGGCUGUCAUAUGUUCUACAAGCAGAAUAAAUGGCUGCCAGGUGGUGUUGAACUGCUUAGUGUCCCCUUCAACUGUGUAUCCAAUCUUCUCUAGAUGAAUGUGAUAGGGAGACAUCUGUGGAGCCACCUCGAACAGUGACAUUAAUGAGGAUGCUUCUAUUGUUUUCCUACAUAUGCUAGAAAGGGCACCAAAGAUGGAUAUCCAGAAGUUUUAGAGUGCAAGAUAUGACUAAAACAUGUGCAGCAAAGUUCAGGGAGCAAGUCUACAUCAGUCGCAGGUUAGAUUGAAAUGAACACAGAGUGUCUAAAACAGACUGAGGAAGGUGGACAUAGCAGAAAGCAACAAACAGAGGUCACAAAAGCCCUAACUUGUUGAAAUCUAAUCUGUAGAAAUGGGACUUGUGAAGAUUAAAUUUAUACGAUAACUGCUCAAAGGAAGCAAACUUAUUUUCAAAGUUGAGAUUAUAAAAGCUACAUACACUAUUCUUUAACCAGACAUCAAAAGCAUCGUCCAUUACUGAUGGGGCAAAAAUGUGAUUUUUCUUGCCACUAGUGCUGCAUGGGAGGGGUCAGUGAGAUAUAUGCUGUGAGAUAAAGACCCUACAGUAUUGAAGAGAAAAGUCCCUUUUAACAGGUAAAAAUCUCUGGCAGAACCAGGCUCAGGGAGGCGCUGCCUCGGCCAUUUGGGGGAUAGGGGAAAGGCCAGUUGCAAAAGAAAGAACACCACAUAUUUAACAUCACCCUUAAAUGUCUGUAAUAACCUUGCAGAGAUGUAAUUUGGCGCCAUUUGUGGUAAACAAAUGUGGGUACUUUGUAUCAAAGUUUAAGAACUCUAGAUCAGAAAUUCAGUGAUUUUUCAGGUACUGAAGCAAAAAGUGUUACAACCAUACCUGCUUCCCCCAAAAGAGUAAAUGAAAUUCUGCCUCUGAACUCUGAGCUGAACAUCGGCAUCAUACGCUUGUUUAAAAACCCACAGGGCAUUAUUUGAAUUGAGAGACUUUGACAGCUCCAGGAUUAGGAUGAAAGAAAAAUGAUAGACUUUACUUAGAUGCAUUUAGCUAGUUUAGAUUCAUUGACACUGUCUUUGCAGUCUUUCUUAGCUUUGUUAGGCGCAGCAUAUCAGUUUAUUUUGUAUCACAUGGUGUGAUUAAGGAAAAAGAUUCCACAAUGUUCAUCUGUGACAUUUUCUCCUAUGGUGAAAACAUUUGAGAUUUUUUCCAAUGGUUGUUCUUAAUGUUUCCUGUUUUUGAUCACAGUAACUUUCCACAUAUUCUCUCUUCCCUGCAUAAUGAUACAUCAUCUCUCCUCUAAGCAGUUAUACAAUGACUAAAAUGAGACAAACUUUGUUUUUCAUAAAUAUGCUGUGCUUUAAUAUUUGUGUUUGCUUUCAAAGCAAACAGUUCUCGUGAGACUUUGUGGAGCUUUUUUGAAGGAGCAGACAAUGAACAACUGAAACUGAACUGUGUAUAUUGUAGAAAGAGAUGCAUGUAAGUCCUUAAGGAUUUGAUACUCUUAUAAAAAAAAAAAAGAACUAAAUUAACCCUUUCUAAACCUCUCUCUCUUAUACCAAGGACAUAAAAUGUGAAUAAAAUUCAGCUUUCAAGCUAGAAGAUAAGAGCAGUAUAUCAAGGGAUAAACUGGUGUCCCUUAAAAAAUACAUACUAUCAUUAUUGUGUCAAGUCUUUGGAUAUGAUAUUUUCAUUGUAGCUGAACAUAUUGAACUCUGAAAUACCAUUUGAGUGAGUCAUCGUGGUCUAAGACUAACUGUAAAUGUUGGCUUGUUGGGUGUUGCAUGGUUUAGCAAGAUUCUCUUUCUUUUUUAAAGACUUAAAGAUGUGAUGAUAAAAAGAAGAAAAAAAAGUAGAGAUGUGAUAUCCAGAUGUCAGUGCUGGCCGUAUACUGCAGAUACAGUAUUCACAGAAGCCAUUUGCAAGGCAUGGAUGGCAGGGAGAGAAAAAAAAAAAAGAGCUGUCUGGAUCUCAUGCCCCAGCCUGUAACAAU